GUUGGUUGGCUCUCUAGGAUAAUUAAUAGAGAACCAUUCUAGUCAUCAAAAAAGGCUUCACAUGGAGACAGAAUUAUCAGAAUUGGCUAAAUUGCCUUGUUACACUGUCAUUGAAUCCCACCUACCAAAAGUUGCCUUGUUUUAAUGAGAUUUUUUUUCAUUAAAUUGGUACAUUUCUGAAAACAGUGAAGAAGCUUCCUGUGUUUUCAGAAAAGGUAGGUAGGUGGGUAUAUCUAGAAAUGACUACCUAAAGAGUUCUAAAGCAAUACUUGAUAAAGGGGAAAAG
Molecule: long non-coding RNA, 286 nt
Filed under: Bos taurus (domestic cattle)
Lineage: Eukaryota; Metazoa; Chordata; Mammalia; Artiodactyla; Bovidae
Description: long non-coding RNA NONBTAT022080
Source: RNAcentral